CCUACGGGUGGCUGCAGUGAGGAAUAUUGGUCAAUGGACGAGAGUCUGAACCAGCCAAGUAGCGUGAAGGAUGACUGCCCUAUGGGUUGUAAACUUCUUUUAUAUGGGAAUAAAAUGUUCCACGUGUGGGAUUUUGUAUGUACCAUAUGAAUAAGGAUCGGCUAACUCCGUGCCAGCAGCCGCGGUAAUACGGAGGAUCCGAGCGUUAUCCGGAUUUAUUGGGUUUAUAGGAAGCGUAGGUGGAUUGUUAAGUCAGUUGUGAAAGUUUGCGGCUCAACCGUAAAAUUGCAGUUGAAACUGGCAGUCUUGAGUACAGUAGAGGUGGGCGGAAUUCGUGGUGUAGCGGUGAAAUGCUUAGAUAUCACGAAGAACUCCGAUUGCGAAGGCAGUUCACUGGACUGCAACUGACACUGAGGCUCGAAAGUGUGGGUAUCAAACAGGAUUAGAUACCCUUGUAGUC
RNAcentral lists this ribosomal RNA (460 nucleotides) under uncultured bacterium. RNAcentral describes it as "partial 16S ribosomal RNA". It matches the Rfam family "Bacterial small subunit ribosomal RNA", at positions 338 to 795 of the family's 1533-position model. The record is from RNAcentral.